Gossypium arboreum is the source of this 132-nucleotide ribosomal RNA. It matches the Rfam family "Bacterial large subunit ribosomal RNA", at positions 1057 to 1188 of the family's 2925-position model. The record is from Rfam. Lineage: Eukaryota; Viridiplantae; Streptophyta; Magnoliopsida; Malvales; Malvaceae.
UGCUGAUCGGAUUCACAUUUAAUUGGGUGCAGAGACAGCUAGGAGGUUUGCCUAGAAGCAGCCACCCUUGAAAGAGUGCGUAAUAGCUCACUGAUUGAGCGGUCUUGCACUGAAGAUGAACAGGGCUAAGCA